CAGAGGCAGAGAAGAGUGGGUAAGAAGACAGAGUUCUCUAGGGCACGGCCUUACUCUCCACCGUAUAAGCACUCAGAGGUGCCUCACCAGACCAACUGCCCAGCAGCACCUGGCGAAUGUCGGAAGCAUUCUGCUUGGAGGUUUUACACUUAGAAGGUCCGUAUCUGAUUCCCGCAGAAUGAUAGACACCUUACUGCUUCCACCCACCCCUGUGAGAACAUCAGGUCUGGUUUCAAGGCUUCUGUCGCCAAGGUUUCUAAUCUGCAGGAUGCAAGACAGUCACUGGUUUCCUGAAGAAGGCAGGACAGCAUCUCCUCCUUCCCCCUGCCUUAUGUGCAGUUCUCGGUGUUCAGUCUCACAAAGGCUUGUGCAAAUCCUCCAGAUCCUAUCAGCCUCAAACCCUUCUCUCCAUAGGAGUCCCAAACCAGUCUAAGGACCAGUUAGGGACAGCAGGCACCAUUGGUACCCUGGAUCAUCUUCCCUAGCACAAGCCCCCAACAAAGUCUAUGAAGGGACACUGGUGGGGACUGGGACUGGGGGAGUGGGAAGUGGCAUCUAAUGUGAUCAAGGUCACAUCAAAGAAGAUUUAGGGCUAUAAAUAGGGCCCCAGACUCCACAAAUUCUCCCUGUUGUCUGAGGACUCCCAACUUUGCAGAAGACAAGGCACAGAGAGCUCCACUCAGAACUACGGAUGUGGUGGGGAAGUGGAAACCGAGCCGACAUUUGGUGUGUUGUAGCAUUCCCAUCUCUGGUUUAACACAAGCGAUGUGUUUCGCUCACAAACUGGCACUGAGAGCUCAUUUACAUUUAAAUAAGAGGCUUGUUAAUGCCAGCAGGAGGACGCUGUCAAUGCCAAGCCUGGCUCAGGAUUCCUGCCAAGGAGUUUCUAAGAGCAUCGCUCUAGGAAACUCCCCCAGAAGAGAGGCAAGCAUGCCUUCUCAUUAAGACAACUCCACCACAGUGACAUUUGCCUCAGAGCGGCAAGCCUUUGGCUGGGCUGAAAGCAAGUUGGAGUCUUAGAAAGUUAUCUGUUGCCAAGACAGUCAUUUAGUUUGAUUUGGCUCCACACCCACUCAGAGACCACCUGGCACAUGUAGGGUGGCCUGGUUGGGAGGGUGGCAGGCUCAUUCCUGACCUCUGGCCUCUUCAGUCAUAUUGGGAGGACUGGGUGUUACUAAGAAGCAAUGAAGACCAUCUUACAACAUAAAAAAGAGAGGGUCUACUCUGUUGUUGAACAGCUCUUAAUAUUGGAAGGUUCUUCCUGACAUUAACAUGAAAUACAUCUGUCUAUUGAAAGAAGGGUGUACUCAAAUGCCUAUAGAUGCCAAGCAGGGAACACAGAGGAGUGAGGCAAGCUGCUUAACCCUCAAAAGUGGUUGGGACUCUGGUAACGUGGCAUGUAGCUGCCUAGUCUAAAGGGGAAUGCACCGCUCAGCAAGAAUUGAUCUUGGGUUUUAUAAACAUGGAUCUUGUCCAAGUAGCUUAAAGACUAAUAAGGAAGUCAGAUAAUUAG
Molecule: long non-coding RNA, 1513 nt
Filed under: Equus caballus (horse)
Lineage: Eukaryota; Metazoa; Chordata; Mammalia; Perissodactyla; Equidae
Description: lncRNA (ENSECAG00000029611.2)
Source: RNAcentral